GAGGGAGAAUUGCAUCAUUAAGUCUGUCCGUCCGGCUGUCAUCUGGGCUCACCAUCAUGAGACUCUUUCCAGCUGAGUCAUCUGGGGAGCCAAAAGGAAGGUGUUCAAAGCUGACAGCUUUGCUAUAGGAAGGUGGUGCUUCUGCAUUGCUGUCCACAGUGGAGUACAAUGGUACAUCGGUGUCGGGAGUAUAUGCAGCUCCUUCUGAACCCAGGCUAUAAUCUUCCACCUCUUCUUCAUCCUGCCUUGAAGCAGAAUGAGCUCCUUCCUCUUCAUGCUCUCCUUCUACCUCCUCAAUGGUUUCUGUCGUCCCCUGACGAGAAUAGAGCAUGGUGACCUGUGUAGGCUCGCUGGAGAUACUGUCUCGAGAAGCUGCUGAAUCUAAACUAUCCAUUCUUUCAGAUGUUUGCAAACCAGAAGCUUGCCCAGGAUUUUUAUCAAUAGAGUCCAGUCCUGACUCCUUAGAAAGUUUCAUCAUAUGGUUCUGGUAAUACAUAUGGAUGCUCUCCCGGGUAGGAACGUUUCCCUUCUUAAUCUCCCUGGUCAGCAUACAACGUUCGAUUCUCAGCACAGUAGAGAUAUCGAUGUGUUCUCUUGAGAUGGAAUUAAGCCAAGCUGUAAAACUGUCUAGUGUUGCCAGGAAAAGGACCCAAGUGAACUUCAAAAUAUUAAAUAUCCUCUUGAUGAUGUUAUCUGGGCCAUCAGACUUCUUCUUGACAGGUUCUUCUUCACUGUCUUCGCAGUCUGCAUCAGUACUUCCAUCCCCAUAUACUUUACGCCUUCGCUUCUCCUCUUUUUGAAAGCUUUUCUUUUCCUUGCGCCUCUGUCGUAGCGCAGUUUUAGGAUCAGUAAUCCAGGCCUGAUAAACAAACUGAAAUGCAGAUUUUUUUCGAGGCUCUUCCUCUUCUUUUUUCUCUUCUUCCUCUUCCUCUUCACUGUCCGUCUCAAACAAAUAAUAAUUUCCACUUCUGACCAUGGAAGCAUGAUCAACCCAAGGCCGCCACCACAGCUUUUUUUUGCCCUUGGCUUUCUCUUUGUCUGCUUCUCCUUCAUCAUCUUCUUCCGAAACCUUCCGAAUUUCAGGCCCCUCUGUGGAAUCCUGUGUCAUGCUUAGCAUCCUC
This 1121-nucleotide long non-coding RNA is filed under the name Gallus gallus (chicken). Lineage: Eukaryota; Metazoa; Chordata; Aves; Galliformes; Phasianidae. The record is from RNAcentral.